Molecule: unclassified non-coding RNA, 348 nt
Filed under: Athalia rosae (coleseed sawfly)
Lineage: Eukaryota; Metazoa; Arthropoda; Insecta; Hymenoptera; Athaliidae
Description: misc RNA ENSAEAG00005010027.1
Source: RNAcentral
UCUUAUCUGUGUUAUAUCGCGCAUAUUGUUGGAGACCUGAUUUACACGGAUUAAGGAGAGCUCUACAUCGUAUGUGAUUUGUGGUAACAAAACCUUCCAGGGGGCUAUUGGUAUCUCGAAACCUUAGACGUGAGGUGAUCCCUUGUAGCGAACGUGGGUGGAGACGAAGCUCUCAUGUGUCAGGCCUAACACUGAUUGAUGUCCUCACUUUGUCCUGGCUGCAAUGCAGUUCACAUGUGCCUUCGUCGAUGCAGUCCAUAUGAUAUAAUACAUGAACGUACGAGAUAACUCUACCUGUGACUUUGUUUCUCCAUGUCUCAACUAUUGUUAGUUGAUUACAUUUUUUUU